UUAGGUUAGUGCAAAAGUAAUUGUGGUUUUUGCCAUUGAAAGUAAUGGCAAAAACUGCAAUUUUGCACCAAUCUAAUA
Molecule: microRNA precursor, 78 nt
Filed under: Saimiri boliviensis boliviensis (Bolivian squirrel monkey)
Lineage: Eukaryota; Metazoa; Chordata; Mammalia; Primates; Cebidae
Description: miRNA (ENSSBOG00000002242.1)
Source: RNAcentral